Molecule: long non-coding RNA, 724 nt
Filed under: Nicotiana benthamiana
Lineage: Eukaryota; Viridiplantae; Streptophyta; Magnoliopsida; Solanales; Solanaceae
Description: long non-coding RNA (NBEN_LNC004674)
Source: RNAcentral
UCAUCUACCCCCAUGUAACACUGCCCUUGACCACCAUUGACCACCCCUUGACCACCAGUCUACCACCUCAACGCCGACGCCGGAAAUAACCUCACGGCGGCAGCCGGUCACCAAACCUCCCAAGAUUUACACCAUCAAACCAUCACCACCUCCCCUUUCCCAUCCUGUGAUUAGUUUCCAUCAAAUAGGUCUCCUCCAUUUUGAAUAUUCAAAAUAAGGUCGUCGGAACUACCGUCUCUGGCGACCCUGCUCCAACCCUCUCCAACUUUACACCGUAGGACCAUUAGAACCUCCCAUUCCCCAUCCUGCAGUCUAUUUCUUUCAAACGAUCCCCCGCAGUCUCAAAUCUUCACAGAAAGGUCAUCGGAACCCCCCAUCUCCGGCGACGCAACUCCAAACCCCUCCAAAUUUACACCCCUGAAACAACUCAAUCCCCUCUUUCCAACCAUAUGUGUCACACCCUUCGAAUCCAGUCAAAACGUGUCGAAUAUUAAUUUGAAGUUCAACCCUAAAACCCAACCCUGUCGGAAUUUGGCCAAAUUCAUCCCAGGCAAUCCUUGGCCAUUCCCCUCCCCAACCAUGCAACCCACGACCCCCAGAUACCACCAAUCACCGAGAAAAAUCAAAUCUGAGACCUCAUAAGGUCUCAGAAUUACCAGAACCGCAUUCCUGAACCCCUAAAACCCAUCUGCCCAAAAUAAAUUGCUAGAAACCCCUGUAGAAG